ACGUAGACCCUGAUUUGAGGCCGAUACUGAAUAGCUUUUGCAAUAGCUCUGACUGGUCAUAUUUCAGGCUAACCAGGAAGAUGAAUGGUAUUUUAUACAGCGCCAUAGAAGUAGUGUUCUUGGCCUUCGAUGGUACCUUAAUAACCUGCUCUUGGAAGAUUUGUUCAAAACAGUUCUCAUUGGAUUUCCAAGCCUGGAAACCGGAUAAAACGUUUGCGAUGGGGGAUUCUUAAUACGACCGGAUUUCCGGAAGCGCCACAGUAAAAACCGCACCCUCAGAAGCAACACAGGCAUUUCCUGUCUCUUCGUAGAAGAACAGAUUUCGUGAAAGCUAUAAAACUUCGGGAGACACUCGCUAAUGUCCAGGAUCUAAAAAGCAAGUUCUUAUCUAAUCAAGAAGAGGCCUAAAACACUAACAUUUUGAAACAAAGGAUUACCAAGACCUCGAGCCACAGCAACAGAUGAAUCCGACCAUGGAUGGCAUGCCAGUCGCAACGGAAAGCCAUAUCAAGUCUCUGAAGAUUGUCCAGUUCAAUGUGCAGAAAUCUGAAUGACCAAAAGUGCAAGGAGGAAAUACCUGCUAAUUUGAAGACUCAUCCAUGAGAUUUUAGCAUACACGUGUUGCAGUGGUUGUGAAGAAAUUUCAUUAAGGCACAUGAAAUCUUUUUUGAACAGUACACCUGUUAGUUUCCUAUAACAAGUGUGUCAUAAAAAGGGGAAACAAUGAUUUGAGCAGUGAAUUACCAUUCAAAAGUCAUGAAGACUAGAGAAAAAUUGUUUUACCAUGAAAGGAUAUAUGUUUAGAGGGUAUUUUUCAUACAUCAUAUGCCCUAAACCUUUCUUUAUGUUAUAGGCUAUUUUAUGAAGUGUUUUGCGCAGUGGGAAACACUUAAAGGCAUGGGUUUUGAAAAGAUUUGACAGUACUUAUUGAAUGCUUUAAGGACUUGCUACCACAUAGAAGCAUUAAAUCAUACUGGUUCGA
Long non-coding RNA from Protopterus annectens (West African lungfish), 982 nucleotides. RefSeq lists it as uncharacterized. The transcript has 3 exons. The record is from RefSeq and is a predicted model, not a curated record. Lineage: Eukaryota; Metazoa; Chordata; Ceratodontiformes; Protopteridae.